This 835-nucleotide unclassified non-coding RNA is filed under the name Leishmania donovani. RNAcentral describes it as "gene:unknown". Lineage: Eukaryota; Euglenozoa; Kinetoplastea; Trypanosomatida; Trypanosomatidae. The record is from RNAcentral.
AAGUCGUUCUCCGAAUUGUUCAAACCAUCAUUGGAACUGAGUCCUAGCAAUGAACAGCGUGCAAUGCCCCGACGGGGCAAGUUCGGAGAGGAGCAGCACUCCCUUUAUCAUGUUCGAAGUUUUCUGCGCCUGCACCUUGGCGGUGAGCACAUUCUUUGUCUACCGCUUUCGAAAGCAGGCGGAAAGCCGCGCGCAGCAGCGGUAUGAUAGACUUGAUCGCUAUGAGGUUGGUACCGGCGUUUACAACGUCCCUGCCGGCUGACCUGGUUAGCUUUUUCCCAAGCGACAGCGGCGCCGAUCUUUUUUUUCAACAUGACGUUCUAUCACGAACAAGCCAACAAAUAGACGUGCGCAACCACAGUUCUCCUACCUGGGUUGCCCUACGGCUGAAUCCUCGUCGCCGAGGACGAGCCUUCGAAUCAGGCAAUGCGUCUACGGGGCUUUUCGCGAUCUUCCUCGUUCAUUUCUCGCACAAGUGCUGUGCGAUCAGCGCCAGACGGACUCGGGUGGACUGCAAACCUUGAUCUCAGCAGACCAUGUCCACGGUCAUGCUUAAGGGUGGAGGCCGUUGCGUCUGUUGUGUCCGAUCUUAGUUUGUCGAGAAAAAACACACAUCAAAUUUACUCAAGUACUUGUUCGAAUGCAAAGUGGUUUUGAUCCAAUUGAAAACUUCUCAUGGGCAAGACUUUCAUCGCAACCCUGCGCCGAUUCAAUACAGAGAAAUGAGAGCUUUUUUCCCGCUGCAUAUGCUUGGUGUGUCUUAGCUUCUAUUUUAUGCUGUAUUGACUCUCGUUUAUCGUAUGAAGGAAAAGCUAUUUAGCAGCAGCACAAAUAC